CCCGGGCCUUGUACACACCGCCCGUCACACCACGAGAGUUUGUAACACCCGAAGUCGGUGAGGUAACCUUUAUGGGGCCAGCCGCCGAAGGUGGGACAGAUGAUUGGGGUGAAGUCGUAACAAGGUACCC
Molecule: ribosomal RNA, 130 nt
Filed under: uncultured bacterium
Lineage: Bacteria
Description: partial 16S ribosomal RNA
Rfam family: Bacterial small subunit ribosomal RNA
Source: RNAcentral